Molecule: ribosomal RNA, 1306 nt
Filed under: Microbacterium paraoxydans
Lineage: Bacteria; Bacillati; Actinomycetota; Actinomycetes; Micrococcales; Microbacteriaceae
Description: bacterial SSU rRNA
Rfam family: Bacterial small subunit ribosomal RNA
Source: RNAcentral
UGUGGGAUCAGUGGCGAACGGGUGAGUAACACGUGAGCAACCUGCCCCUGACUCUGGGAUAAGCGCUGGAAACGGCGUCUAAUACUGGAUAUGUGACGUGACCGCAUGGUCUGCGUUUGGAAAGAUUUUUCGGUUGGGGAUGGGCUCGCGGCCUAUCAGCUUGUUGGUGAGGUAAUGGCUCACCAAGGCGUCGACGGGUAGCCGGCCUGAGAGGGUGACCGGCCACACUGGGACUGAGACACGGCCCAGACUCCUACGGGAGGCAGCAGUGGGGAAUAUUGCACAAUGGGCGAAAGCCUGAUGCAGCAACGCCGCGUGAGGGAUGACGGCCUUCGGGUUGUAAACCUCUUUUAGCAGGGAAGAAGCGAAAGUGACGGUACCUGCAGAAAAAGCGCCGGCUAACUACGUGCCAGCAGCCGCGGUAAUACGUAGGGCGCAAGCGUUAUCCGGAAUUAUUGGGCGUAAAGAGCUCGUAGGCGGUUUGUCGCGUCUGCUGUGAAAUCCCGAGGCUCAACCUCGGGCCUGCAGUGGGUACGGGCAGACUAGAGUGCGGUAGGGGAGAUUGGAAUUCCUGGUGUAGCGGUGGAAUGCGCAGAUAUCAGGAGGAACACCGAUGGCGAAGGCAGAUCUCUGGGCCGUAACUGACGCUGAGGAGCGAAAGGGUGGGGAGCAAACAGGCUUAGAUACCCUGGUAGUCCACCCCGUAAACGUUGGGAACUAGUUGUGGGGUCCAUUCCACGGAUUCCGUGACGCAGCUAACGCAUUAAGUUCCCCGCCUGGGGAGUACGGCCGCAAGGCUAAAACUCAAAGGAAUUGACGGGGACCCGCACAAGCGGCGGAGCAUGCGGAUUAAUUCGAUGCAACGCGAAGAACCUUACCAAGGCUUGACAUAUACGAGAACGGGCCAGAAAUGGUCAACUCUUUGGACACUCGUAAACAGGUGGUGCAUGGUUGUCGUCAGCUCGUGUCGUGAGAUGUUGGGUUAAGUCCCGCAACGAGCGCAACCCUCGUUCUAUGUUGCCAGCACGUAAUGGUGGGAACUCAUGGGAUACUGCCGGGGUCAACUCGGAGGAAGGUGGGGAUGACGUCAAAUCAUCAUGCCCCUUAUGUCUUGGGCUUCACGCAUGCUACAAUGGCCGGUACAAAGGGCUGCAAUACCGUGAGGUGGAGCGAAUCCCAAAAAGCCGGUCCCAGUUCGGAUUGAGGUCUGCAACUCGACCUCAUGAAGUCGGAGUCGCUAGUAAUCGCAGAUCAGCAACGCUGCGGUGAAUACGUUCCCGGGUCUUGUACACACCGCCCGUCAAGU